This is a long non-coding RNA of Rhea pennata, 2748 nucleotides long. RefSeq lists it as uncharacterized. The record is from RefSeq and is a predicted model, not a curated record. The transcript is spliced from 2 exons. Lineage: Eukaryota; Metazoa; Chordata; Aves; Rheiformes; Rheidae.
CUCUAGGCGCAUGCGCGGCAGGCAGAGCGCAGCAGGUGACGUCGGAGGACUGCGGGUCGCGGUUGGCCGCGUACGUAAAGCAUGCGAGAGGUGAACGUGCGUGUGCACGGCAGCCCGCCGCGAUCAUCGGAGCCUCGUGUUUCCCCGGACUGCUGCUGCGACCAGCCGCGCUCCCCGCCCCUUUUUGGUGUUCACUGAUCGGCUGCCUAGCCAGUCUCCGCCUCUAGCUGCUGCGCCCUGCUUCGAGAACGGUUCGUGCCCAUGUGUCCGGGGCCGUGUGUGAGCAGCGGGAAGGAGCAACUCCGUCACUGCGGCUGCGCUAUCCGUGCGGAGAAAACUGCUGAUCGCCUCCCCUGACCACAAGGAAAUAUUUGGGGGGGGGGGCGGAAAACGACGACUCGCGCAUGCGCACAGCAGCACCGCCGUCCCGGCUGCCCGAGCUGCCCUCGCCGGACUGGGGGUUGGGGCGUGGGAACAGGGUUCCGCGGCGCCUAUUGUACUGCACGGGGGGAGGGGAAUGCGCGUGCACAUUGCUUUGCAGCUCCCAAUGCUGUUCUGUCGAAGGAGCAGUACUGCAGCCAAAUAGGGGGUGGGUAUGCGCAGUGCGCUCUGCCGUGCUCAUUGUUGCCAGCGCGUGUUGAUUAUGCAGUACUGCAGGAAACAGGGAACCUUUUCCGAGUUGGAAUUAGUAGGUGGCCCAUCUGCCUGUGUCACAUUCAGUGAAGUGUUAUUUGGAGAAUGAAAGCAGCAUUUGUAUCUAGACAGAAAUCCAGAAUUGGGAGUGUGGUGCAGCCAAUAGUAUUUGGCUGCCCGAUCUCAGGCCCCGCAGAUGUGCUACUUGGCACCAGCAUCUCUCCAGCUCACAGUCAGGUAAGGCAUAGACAGGGUAUCAGCGGUUUCAGAACACUGAGCAGGCUCACCAUUUAUAUGAACAGUUUUACUCUGCCUUUAAAUUAAAGGGUAAGCGGAAUGCCUGAUCUACUGAGCUACAUCAGGCGGCAGGCUGUCUACCACUUGGUCCCUGCUGUCUCAUGUGAAGCCAGGGAGCCUCACAGAGCCCCACGCCCUGCUACAACGUCCAGGAGAGCACAGAUGCUGGCUCAGAGGUGGAACUGCUGGAUAGGUCUCCCCCAGCCAUCACUCACUUGACCAGCUGAUGGGGUAAAGACAAGCAAAGCUGUCCCCAUUCGAAAUAGGAGCAUGCCACGUCAUGUACGGUAAGUGGAUGACCUGUUUUCCCCAGAUGGGUCAGAGCCAGGUUGGUGACGGUCAUCCAGACUGCCACCACGCCCAAAUUUUAAAGGAUCGCACUGGGCCAAUGGCUUGAAGGGUGACUGUGAAUCUUUUCUGGAAGCCAACUGGGCCCUCCCUUUACUGACAAAGAUUGAAAGGAUACUAUGAUAGGACAGAGGCAACUACUAGUUGCCACCGUUACACCUGGGAUGGCUAAGCAGUCAGCUUGCCCAGUAGGGGUAUCUGGUGGGACCACAAGGAGGUGGGACAGGUGGUUCAAUGCCAGUUAGUAACUAAGAGAAUCACAAUUAUUCCCAUUAUUAGAUAGCCAGGCACAUCUGUGCCAUCUUCUGUGAAAUCUUAUUUUUAUCCUGCUUCAGUAUACUUUCUCAAACCCUUGCAUGCACAUACUUAACUGACAAUUCUCUCGGUCUUUACAAUGGAAAAGUGACAGCACUUGAUGUGCCUAUCUCUCUUUCAAAUCUAUUACCUUUUUGAUACAGCUCCCAGAUUCCUCUUACAUUUGGAUGCUUGCCUUACAGGUGAUGACGAAAAUGAACAGCUGGAUCACUAGGUCUAGCUGUUUCUCUUCAAGAUGUCCCCUCUCGGGGGAUUACCCUGCCAAACAAACCGAAAAGACUGAUGAGGCCAGGAGGGUAUCAGGUUUUAGAUGCAACUUCUCCAAGGUUUUCAGCAUGACCAGCAUAAGUGCUUCUCCUCGCAUUACUCAAAGCUACGCUUAUCUAUUACUUAGCACUAAACUAGUUCUACUUUAGGAGGGGAUUGUUGUUUGUUUAAACUUUGCAUAGAGUCCAUAACUUUCUACGCAUCCUCUCUAGUCCCUUCUGCUUUCACAACACUUUUGGUAAGGAAAAGUCAUAAUUAAUAGCAUCUGUUCUCCCACAGGCUGGAGUAAGAAGUUUCUCCCGUUCUGAGGAAGUGCCUGAAAGCAGGUUUGCUCCAGAGGGUUCAAGCUUCUGGUGACUCACCAGCGCUCUGGGGCAUGCCUACCACAACAGGAGUUGACCUUCUGCCACCCCACUCUGGGGCCCGCCUGCAGCCCCGCUUGUCCAGGCUGCAUCUGCAGAGACAAGCGUAUGCUCUGGCCUGCGCUGGGCAGGAACCAGGGCCUUAAAGGCAACACACAGCAAAGGGAAACGCACGCCCACGCUCCGGCACACAUGGUGCCGCGCAGAUGCUGCCCAGCGCUCCUGGCAGGGCCGAGCCAGGCCCCAGUCCCCGCCACCCCAAGCCCCGCACUACUGGCCUCCGCAGAAGAUGGCAGCCCAACAUGUGCAGCCACUUGAAAGAACACGCUCACCUCAUGGGCACCCCCAGAUCCUCCACCUCAUGUGGCCUCGGCCCUCACCCACCACCACGGGAAGGCUGUGUCCCUGCUUGCCACCAUGAUGCUCACUGGCAGUGCACAUGCAUAAGGGGAAGCAUGCUGGCAUCCAGCUCCAUGCCAGAUUUGCUCCCAGGUGGUGUUUCUGUACAGUAAAACACUAAACAGUU